UGCCGCCAGCAGGGGUCGAACCUGCGACCUUGGGCUUAUUAGACCCACGCUCUAACCAACUGAGCUAUGGCGGC
Molecule: transfer RNA, 74 nt
Filed under: Ancylostoma duodenale
Lineage: Eukaryota; Metazoa; Nematoda; Chromadorea; Rhabditida; Ancylostomatidae
Description: tRNA-Ile
Source: RNAcentral